GCUUCUAAGGGUUGUUGCCUAAAUAGCAUUUUUGAUCAGAUAGUAAAUACAAAAUGAUCACAUUAUUACAUAUACAGAAAUGAAUUACAUUAUAUUGAAGGGACACUAUAGUCACCAGAACAACUACGGCUAUUGAAUUUGUUCUGGUGAGUAGAAUCAUUCACUUCUGGCUUUUUGCUGUAAACACUGUCUAUUCAGAGAAAAUGCAGUGUUUACAUUACAGCCUAGUGAUAACUUCACUGGCCACUCCUCAGAUGGCUG
Molecule: non-coding RNA, 261 nt
Organism: Pelobates cultripes (western spadefoot toad)
Lineage: Eukaryota; Metazoa; Chordata; Amphibia; Anura; Pelobatidae
Source: the annotation of a GenBank genome assembly